GAUGAACGCUGGCGGCGUGCCUAAUACAUGCAAGUCGAGCGAACGGACGAGAAGCUUGCUUCUCUGAUGUUAGCGGCGGACGGGUGAGUAACACGUGGAUAACCUACCUAUAAGACUGGGAUAACUUCGGGAAACCGGAGCUAAUACCGGAUAAUAUUUUGAACCGCAUGGUUCAAAAGUGAAAGACGGUCUUGCUGUCACUUAUAGAUGGAUCAGCGCUGCAUUAGCUAGUUGGUAAGGUAACGGCUUACCAAGGCAACGAUGCAUAGCCGACCUGAGAGGGUGAUCGGCCACACUGGAACUGAGACACGGUCCAGACUCCUACGGGAGGCAGCAGUAGGGAAUCUUCCGCAAUGGGCGAAAGCCUGACGGAGCAACGCCGCGUGAGUGAUGAAGGUCUUCGGAUCGUAAAACUCUGUUAUUAGGGAAGAACAUAUGUGUAAGUAACUGUGCACAUCUUGACGGUACCUAAUCAGAAAGCCACGGCUAACUACGUGCCAGCAGCCGCGGUAAUACGUAGGUGGCAAGCGUUAUCCGGAAUUAUUGGGCGUAAAGCGCGCGUAGGCGGUUUUUUAGUCUGAUGUGAAAGCCCACGGCUCAUUCGUGGAGGGUCAUUGGAAACUGGAAAACUUGAGUGCAGAAGAGGAAAGUGGAAUUCCAUGUGUAGCGGUGAAAUGCUCAGAGAUAUGGAGGAACACCAGUGGCGAAGGCGACUUUCUGGUCUGUAACUGACGCUGAUGUGCGAAAGCGUGGGGAUCAAACAGGAUUAGAUACCCUGGUAGUCCACGCCGUAAACGAUGAGUGCUAAGUGUUAGGGGGUUUCCGCCCCUUAGUGCUGCAGCUAACGCAUUAAGUACUCCGCCUGGGGAGUACGACCGCAAGGUUGAAACUCAAAGGAAUUGACGGGGACCCGCACAAGCGGUGGAGCAUGUGGUUUAAUUCGAAGCAACGCGAAGAACCUUACCAAAUCUUGACAUCCUUUGACAACUCUAGAGAUAGAGCCUUCCCCUUCGGGGGACAAAGUGACAGGUGGUGCAUGGUUGUCGUCAGCUCGUGUCGUGAGAUGUUGGGUUAAGUCCCGCAACGAGCGCAACCCUUAAGCUUAGUUGCCAUCAUUAAGUUGGGCACUCUAAGUUGACUGCCGGUGACAAACCGGAGGAAGGUGGGGAUGACGUCAAAUCAUCAUGCCCCUUAUGAUUUGGGCUACACACGUGCUACAAUGGACAAUACAAAGGGCAGCGAAACCGCGAGGUCAAGCAAAUCCCAUAAAGUUGUUCUCAGUUCGGAUUGUAGUCUGCAGCUCGACUACAUGAAGCUGGAAUCGCUAGUAAUCGUAGAUCAGCAUGCUACGGUGAAUACGUUCCCGGGUCU
Molecule: ribosomal RNA, 1371 nt
Filed under: uncultured bacterium
Lineage: Bacteria
Description: bacterial SSU rRNA
Rfam family: Bacterial small subunit ribosomal RNA
Source: RNAcentral